Molecule: ribosomal RNA, 397 nt
Filed under: uncultured bacterium
Lineage: Bacteria
Description: bacterial SSU rRNA
Rfam family: Bacterial small subunit ribosomal RNA
Source: RNAcentral
GACGAACGCUGGCGGCGUGCUUAACACAUGCAAGUCGAGCGGUAAGGCCCUUUCGGGGGUACGACGAGCGGCGAACGGGUGAGUAACACGUGGGUGACCUGCCCUCAGCUCUGGGAUAAGCCUGGGAAACCGGGUCUAAUACUGGAUAUGACUCCAUGACGCAUGUUGUGGGGUGGAAAGCCUUGUGCGGCUGAGGAUGGGCCCGCGGCCUAUCAGCUUGUUGGUGGGGUGAGGGCCUACCAAGGCGACGACGGGUAGCCGGCCUGAGAGGGCGACCGGCACACUGGGACUGAGACACGGCCCAGACUCCUACGGGAGGCAGCAGUGGGGAAUCUUGCGCAAUGGGCGAAAGCCUGACGCAGCGACGCCGCGUGAGGGAUGACGGCCUCGGUUGUAA